GAUGAACGCUGGCGGCGUGCCUAAUACAUGCAAGUCGAGCGAACAGACGAGGAGCUUGCUCCUCUGACGUUAGCGGCGGACGGGUGAGUAACACGUGGAUAACCUACCUAUAAGACUGGGAUAACUUCGGGAAACCGGAGCUAAUACCGGAUAAUAUAUUGAACCGCAUGGUUCAAUAGUGAAAGACGGUUUUGCUGUCACUUAUAGAUGGAUCCGCGCCGCAUUAGCUAGUUGGUAAGGUAACGGCUUACCAAGGCAACGAUGCGUAGCCGACCUGAGAGGAUGAUCAGCCACACUGGAACUGAGACACGGUCCAGACUCCUACGGGAGGCAGCAGUAGGGAAUCUUCCGCAAUGGGCGAAAGCCUGACGCAGCAACGCCGCGUGAGUGAUGAAGGUCUUCGGAUCGUAAAACUCUGUUAUUAGGGAAGAACAAAUGUGUAAGUAACUAUGCACGUCUUGACGGUACCUAAUCAGAAAGCCACGGCUAACUACGUG
RNAcentral lists this ribosomal RNA (497 nucleotides) under uncultured bacterium. RNAcentral's name for it is "partial 16S ribosomal RNA". It matches the Rfam family "Bacterial small subunit ribosomal RNA", at positions 28 to 507 of the family's 1533-position model. The record is from RNAcentral.